UUUUCAGUGUGCAGUAAUGAACAGACUAACCGUGACCUGACACGAGGCUGUCGGACCCCCAGGGAACGACGUGUGUGUGUGUGCGUGCACGUGUGUGUGUUACAUCUUGCCCUCAGCUCUUUCUCUCUCUGAAGGUAUGUGCUGUGAUAUAAAUCAAACAGACAGAUGUCUCUGGUGAGAUCAGCGGUUGGGCCCUCGCUGCUUUAACCCUUUAACCGAUUCCCACAGACGAGUUAGCAAGGACGCAUGCAGCAGGCUGGUAAAUGACAGUAUUCAGCUGUGUUAGGACCAGGGAUCUACCUCCACUCCAGCAUGUCUUCUAUCACUGGAACAGGAGAGGCAGACGAGAUUAUUUUUAAAGAAUCAUCUCCUUGCCUCACCUGCCUGCCUUCCUGCCCUUACACCACCACGGGAUCUUCACCGCUCAGGACAGCUGACACACACCACCAAACCCACCCGGACCGCACCAACUCUCCUUCAACGCUUCCAUCUCCCACCUGCACAUACAUACCUAAUCACCAGCCAGCUGCUGUUGCUUUCUUGGACCUGUCCCCUUUCUUUAUCCCUCUCCCCUGGCCAAGACCCUCACGCCCCAUGUGUCAAGCCUUAAGUCAAGUGUCAUAGUAAACAUCAUUCUUGUGCUAAUUAAUAAACCUUUGUUAAACCCUU
Molecule: long non-coding RNA, 669 nt
Organism: Oreochromis aureus
Lineage: Eukaryota; Metazoa; Chordata; Actinopteri; Cichliformes; Cichlidae
Exons: 4
Source: RefSeq, a predicted model, not a curated record